CAUGUCAUAUUUUUUUCAGCGAGAAUGAUUGUAGUGACGACAUGUGUAUAAAUCACUUCGUAAAUAUAGUCUAGGGGAUAAACUCUAUAUAGUAGUAAAUAUAUAUUAAAAAACUUAUAAACCAUGGCUAAAAGUGCGUAAAAUCCAAGGCCUAUCAACUCUCCCAGACUUACCCUCAUACUUAUCCUCAAGCAAAACAUACAUGCAGUUUUAUGAAACAGGUUUGAAAACAGCAUAGAUUCACAGAUUUAAAACUCAGAAUCAUCACCUUAGGAAAUCCUAAUCUCAUAAGCACAUUAUACCAUAUCCAAGUCAACAACUUAGCAAAUCAUGUCUCACAAUCCCCUCUACCAACCUCAAUUCUUGCAUAAAUAAAAAUGUAGGUUUUACCUUGGGAGUAUCGAUCACAUGAUGCAAAGAUGCUCAAACAAGUAUCUGGACCUGAAGGUAAAUAAGAGUUUCUUUCCUCUCUCUCUACUAAUUUCUCUCUCAGUCAAAGUUUGCUUAUAUUGCAAGAUCAUUGACCAAGAUUGGACAAACUUCCAUGAAUCAAGCUUUAAUGGUUUUGGCCAUCAAAUCAUAUCAUGCUCACUUCGUCUUGACAUGUAUCCUAGGAUUAUUUGUGAAUCAAGCCUUAAUGGUUGUAGCCACCAAGUCUUGUUAUAAUCUUUUACCUAUAUAAUUCUUAUGAAUCAAGCCUUAAUAGUUGUAGCCACCAAGUCCUGUUCGAAUCCUUUACCUAUAGAAUUCUUAAGAAUCAAGCCUUAAUAGUUGUAGCCACCAAGUCCUGUUCGAAUCCUUUACCUAUAGAAUUCUUA
This 818-nucleotide long non-coding RNA is filed under the name Brassica napus (rape). RNAcentral's name for it is "long non-coding RNA (BNAP_LNC023199)". Lineage: Eukaryota; Viridiplantae; Streptophyta; Magnoliopsida; Brassicales; Brassicaceae. The record is from RNAcentral.